GAUCGAUGUUGACCCUCCGAUCAAACCUCUUAAACACGCGAGCGGAGCUGAUACUGAAGUAGGUGGAGACCACGCCGUCGUUGCCUCUGCCUACAUCUCAUACGCGCGUCGUCUCAAUCUAGAGUGCUCAAAGCAGAUGCGGGUCUUCUCUGACGGGAUCUCACAGCAUUGUGGAAAAUUGAUAUGGAUGGGAAAGUGAAUGAAGCAGUUGAGAUAUGCUUUGGGUCUUUUCACCGUUAUGCACAAUAUAUGAAUUUCUCACACCCCUUGAUCAAGGAGAAGUUUGAACUUGAUGCGUGGAGGAAGGGAAAAUGCAUUGAAGCAGAAUCUUAAUGAAAAUUGAAUACUAUGAAAAUUAGGUACACUUUCACUGGGAUUGAUCAUAAUCUACUCGACAACCACGUGACUAGAAAUAUAUCUCAAGGAUUUUUGUGAACUUGUCAAUCCUCUACCACCAUUUGACUAGAAAGGCUAAUAUGAUAGCUUGGACUUAUCAUCUGGAGGUUGCACUUGAAGGAAUGAUAGUUUGGCCU
This is a long non-coding RNA of Zingiber officinale, 533 nucleotides long. RefSeq lists it as uncharacterized. The transcript has 3 exons. NCBI's taxonomy places the organism in Eukaryota, Viridiplantae, Streptophyta, Magnoliopsida, Zingiberales, Zingiberaceae. The record is from RefSeq and is a predicted model, not a curated record.